RNAcentral lists this ribosomal RNA (468 nucleotides) under uncultured bacterium. Its description in RNAcentral is "partial 16S ribosomal RNA". It matches the Rfam family "Bacterial small subunit ribosomal RNA", at positions 28 to 507 of the family's 1533-position model. The record is from RNAcentral.
GACGAACGCUGGCGGCGUGCUUAACACAUGCCAGUCGAACGGAAAGGCCCUGCUUUUGUGGGGUGCUCGAGUGGCGAACGGGUGAGUAACACGUGAGUAACCUGCCCUUGACUUUGGGAUAACUUCAGGAAACUGGGGCUAAUACCGGAUAGGAGCUCCUGCUGCAUGGUGGGGGUUGGAAAGUUUCGGCGGUUGGGGAUGGACUCGCGGCUUAUCAGCUUGUUGGUGGGGUAGUGGCUUACCAAGGCUUUGACGGGUAGCCGGCCUGAGAGGGUGACCGGCCACAUUGGGACUGAGAUACGGCGCAGACUCCUACGGGAGGCAGCAGUGGGGAAUAUUGCACAAUGGGCGGAAGCCUGAUGCAGCAACGCCGCGGGCGGGAUGACGGCCUUCGGGUUGUAAACCGCUUUCGCCUGUGACGAAGCGUGAGUGACGGUAAUGGGUAAAGAAGCACCGGCUAACUACGUG